RNAcentral lists this long non-coding RNA (10911 nucleotides) under Homo sapiens (human). RNAcentral describes it as "HSALNT0009353". Lineage: Eukaryota; Metazoa; Chordata; Mammalia; Primates; Hominidae. The record is from RNAcentral.
UCUCUCUUCCUCUUCUAUUUUUUAAUUUUUUUUAAAUUUUUUUAAUGUUUUGAGGCAGGAUCUUGCUGUUUCACUCAGGCUGGGGUGUAGUGGUGCAAUCACAGAUCACUGAAGCCUUGACCUCCCAGGUUAAAGUGAUCCUUCUGCCUCAGCCUUCUGAGUAGUUGGGACUACAGGUGCACACUACCAUGCCUGGCUAAUCUUUGUGUUUUUGUAGAGAUGGGGUUUUUGCCAUGUUUCCCAGGCUGAUUUCAAACACCUGAGCUCAAGCAAUGCGCCUGCUUUGGCCUCUCAAAGUGCUGGGCUUACAGGUGUGAGCCGCCAUGCCUGGCCUAUUUUAUCUUCUUAUAAACCAAUCAGUCUCACUCUCAUGAAAAUCCAUUAAUCCAUUAACUGAAUAAUCUAUGAAUGAAUUAACUCAGUCAUGAGGGCAGAUCCUUCACGGUCCAUUCACCUCUUAAAGGCCCUACUUCUCAAUACUGCAAAAUUAGAGAUUAAAUUUCAACAUGAAUUUUGGAGGAAACAAAUAUUCAAACAAUAGCAUUUUGCACCUAGCCACAUAAAACUCAUGUCCUUCUCACAUACAGUUACACCCAUUCCAUCUCCAUAGUCCCAGAGUCUUAACUUGCAUCAGCACCAGUUCAAAAGUCCAAAGUCCAGAGUUUUAUCUGUGAGCCUGCAAAAUCAAUACAAGUUAUCUACUUCCAUGAUGAGAUGGUGGUACAGGAACAAGAUAUUCUUAUUCCAAAAGGGAAAAAUAAGUAAAACAGAAGGAAUAACAGACCUCUAGUAAGUCUAAAACCCAGAGACAUUAAAUCUUAAAAAAGCAAAUAAUCUCUUUUAACUCCAUGUGCUACCUCUUGGGCACAUUGAGAUAACAGUUGGGUCUUUAAGGCCUCAGGCAGCUCUGUCCCCAUGUCUUUGCUGGCUGUAGCCCACAUGGCUACUUGUACAGGUUAGGGUUGGAUACCUGAAGCUUUCUCAGGCAAGCAUUCCAUGCUGCUGGUGACUCCACAGUUCUGGAGUCUCCCUGGUCAUAUAGCUGCCAUGGCUCCACAGGCAUUGUCCUGGUAGGGACUCUACAACAGCCUCAACUCCACAUUUUUUCUGCUCAGCACUGCCCUAGAAGGGGCUAUUUGUGGUGACUCUGCUCUAGGACAAUGGUCCCUAGGCUUUUGAUGACAUCUUUUGAAAUUUGGGUGGAGGCUGUGAAGCCUCCACAGCUCUUGCUUUCUGCAAGCCUUUAGAAUUGGCACCAUGUGGAUGUUGCUAAUACAACUUGUACCUUAUGGAGUUGCAAGAACCACAGCUGGGGCCACUGGAGCCAGGGCUGGAGUGGACAUGGAGUGGUGCACUAGGGUGCAAUAAGUGGGGUGCACUAAGCAGAGUCCAAGGUGGCCCUGGGUAAUGAACCCCUAGAGAGCAUCCAGGGCCUUCCCCAUAAAACCAUUUGGCCUCCAAGAUCUCUGGGAUUGUGCUGGGAAGGGCAGCCUUGAAAAUCUCUAAAAUGCUUUUGGGACUCUUUCUACCACUGUCAAGGAAUAGCAGCUGACUCCCUUCUAUCUAUGCUAAUCUCUUUAGCAAAUUGUCUUUGGGCUACACCCAGGACAAAGUAUGUUUUACUGAACACACGUUUUCACUCUUUCUAUGGUGGAGCUGAGAAUUUUCCAAAUCUUUCUGCCCUGCUUCUCUUUUAAUUUUAAUUUCUGUCUUUAAAUUAUUCCUUUUCUCCAGAAUCUCAGCAUAAGUUGCCAAAAGUAACCCUGCAAAUUCUUCCAUAUUUUGCAUAGAAAUUUCUUCUGCCAGAUAUCCUAGUUCAUCACUCUCAAGUUUAAUCUUUCACAAAGCCCUCAGGCAUGGACAUAAUUCAGCCAAAUUCUUUGCCAAUUUAUGACAAGAACGGCUUUUUCUUUUUUCAGUUCCCAAUACCUUGUUCAUCAGUUCCAACUGAAAUUGCAGCAGAAUAGCCUUUAAUCUGCAUAUGCUUAUCAGCAUCCUGGUCACAACAACUUAAUCAAUCUCUAAUGAGUUCCACACCUUCCCUAGUCAUCUUGUCUUCUAAGCCCUCACAAGAAUCUAGGCUUUUUAUAGUCUGCCCCCCUAACUUCUUCCAGCCUCUCCCCAUUACCCAGUUCCAAAGCCACUUCUGCAUUUUCUGGUAUUUAUUAUCAGCAAUAUGCCAUUUUUUGGUACCAAUUUUCUGUCUUAAUCCAUUUUCUGUUACUUAUAAAAAAAAUACCUGAAAGUAGCUAUCUUACAAAGAGAAAAAGUAUAUUUCUUUCAUUUAUGGAGGCUGAGAAUACCAAGAUCAAAGAAUGACAGGUUAGAUCUCACUAAGGCAGGCCUCCAUAACUACUGUUUCAGUACUGACUGAGUGGUUAAGUUAAAUAUUAAAAGCUAAAAAAAGCCAGUGCCUUUAUUCAAAGACUGGAAGGUAACAAAAGGCCACCAAGAGUUUCUCCCUAGGCCUUUCCUGGGCCUUAAAGCAUGAUAAAAUAAUGGAGGGAUUCUUAAUAAGACCCAUUUAAGAUUAAACAAGUUUUAUUCGGAGGUCUGAAGAAACUCCCCAGGCCUCCACAAACAAGUUUAUUGGGGGUCUGAAGGAACUCUCCAAACCUCCCUGAUUUAGCAGAAGAUAAGAUAAGGGUAAUCACCCGAGCACCUGGACCAAUUUAGAUUAAGUAAAUUUACUGAGGCUCCAGAAGAAGGUCUUUAGGACUCAGACCUUAAUUAUAGAUUAAAAGAAGUUAAUCACUUAUGUCUUUAGAUGAAUGCACACUUACAUGUAAACAUAUAGCUUAGAAGGUAUAUAAACUCUGGAAAACUGUAAUUUUGAGUUGGUCUGGCAGUAAUUUCCAGGCCUUCUCCCUGUAACCAGUUGCAGAAAUAAAAACUCUCUUCCUACCCAGUUCAUUUGCAUCUUGUUAUUGGGCACGAGAAAUAGCAGCCCAAUCCUCAGUUUGGUCAGGAACAAAAGGGCUUCAUCUUUUGAGGGCCUUUGUGCUGGCAGGACUCUCCAUGGAGUCCUGAGGCAGUUCAGAAUGCAAAUGCAAUAGAUUCAUUGCCAGAUGUGCACAGCAAGUCAAUAUGCCAAGACACCAAUUUGCAGCAGGGAAAAAGUAUUAAUCAUGGGGCUGCUGAAUGAGCAGAUGAGAGAAACUUCAAAUUUUGGAGGGGGCCAAAGUGUAGAGAUUAUCAGUUGGUCAAUGAGUGCAGGGUGAAGUUAUGGGCUAUGCAUGCUAGCUUGGGUCUUUCUUCCUUUUCUUUAAAACCACUAGUUCUACUUCAGUGAUAACCCAUUAAUCAUUAACUCAGUAAUCCAUUAAUCUGUAAAUGGGUCCCAGUCACCUCUUAAAGGCCCCACUUCUCACUACUGCCACAUUGGAAAUUAAAUUUCAAAACAUGAGUUUUGAAGGGGACAGAUACUCAAAGGAUAGCAUCAUUAUUUGAUAUAUGGUUUGCAACUAUUUUUUUCCCAUUAUAUAGGUCACCUUUAUAUUUUGUUGAUUAUUUUGUUUGCUGUAAAGAGACUUAAUUUUGAUGUAGUCCCACUCGUUUUGUUUGUUUGCUUGCCUUUUAUGCAUGCGCUUUCAAUAUCAUAUCCAAAAAUCAUUGCCAAGACCAAGACCCUUGUAAAGGAGAUUCUCCAUGAUUUAUUCUAGGAGUUUUGUAAUUUUAGAUCUUACAUUUAAAUUAUUAAUGCAUUUUAAGUCGAAUAUUGUAUAAGGUGAAAGCUAAAAAUCCAACCUCAUUUUGUCACCAGUCAAUAUACAGUUUUCCCAAUUUGAUAUACAGUUUUCCCAACACCAUUUAUUCUGUGUAUUCUUGGCACCUUUGUCAAAGAUUUGAUCAUGUAUAUGUGGGUUUACUUCUGGGCUUUUUACUCUGUUCCAUUGGGAUGUGUUUUUUUAUGCUAAUACCAAAUUAUUUUGACUAGGGCUUUGUAAUAUUAAUUUAGAAUCAGGAAAUAUGAUGGAUCCAUCUUUGAUUUUCCUACUCAAGCUUACUUUAGCUAUUCAGGGUGUUUUGUGGUUCCAUAUGGAUUUUAUAAUUGAUUUUUCUAUUACUGUAAAAAUGUCAUUGGAAUAUUUUCUUUUUUUUUGUGAUGGAGUCUCGCUCUGUUGCCCAGGCUGGAGUGCAGUGGCAUGAUCUCGGCUCACUGCAAACUCCGCCUCCUGGGUUCAUGCCAUUCUCCUGCCUUAGCCUCCCGAGUAGCUGGGACUACAGGCUCCCACCACCAUGCCCGGCUAAUUUUUUUUAUUUUUGGUAGAGACAGGUUUCAUGCGCGUUUGUGUGAAGAGACCACCAAACAGGGUUUGUGUGAGCAACAUGGCUGUUUAUUUCACCUGGGUGCAGGCGGGCUGAGUCUGAAAAGAGAGUCAGCGAAGGGAGAUAGGGGUGGGGCCGUUUUUUAGGAUUUGGGAAGGUAAUGGAAAAUUACAGUCAAAGGGGGUUGUUCUCUGGUGGGCAGGGUUGGGGGUCACAAGGUGCUCAGUGGGGGAGCUUCUGAGCCAGGAGAAGGAAAUUCACAGGGUUAAUCACUCAGUUAAGGUGGGGCAGGAACAAAUCACAAUGGUGGAAUGUCAUCAGUUAAGGCGGGGCAGGGCCUUUUCACUUCUUUUGUGAUUCUUCAGUUACUUCAGGCCAUCUGGGCAUAUAUGUGCAAGUCACAGGAGAUGCGAUGGCUUGGCUUGGGCUCAGAGGCCUGACAAUCCUGCCUUCUUAUAUUAAUAAGAAAAAUAAAACAGUGUUGAAGUCUUGGGGUGGUGAAAAUUUUGGGGGGGUGAUAUGGAGAGAGAAUGGACGAUGUUUCUCAGGGCUGCUUCAAGCGGGAUUAGGGGCGGCGUGGGAACCUAGAGUGGGAGAGAUUAAGCUGAAGGAAGAUUUUGUGGUAAGGGGUGAUAUUGUGGGGUUGUUAGAAGAAACAUUUGUCAUUUAGAAUGAUUGGUGAUGGCCUGGAUACGGUUUUGUAUGAAUUGAAAAACUAAAUGGAAUAAGAGAAGGAGAAAAACAGGUAUAAAAGGUCUAAGAAUUGGGAGGACCUAGGACAUCUGAUUAGAGAGUGCCUAAGGAGAUUCAGCAUAGUCCUGCCAGCCAAGAUUAUUUAUUUACUUCAAGAGUUAAGAGUGGCGGUUUGGGGAUAGCACGAGGAGAUAUCAGCUGUGAUGGCUUGGAGAAACAGUGUAAACCGGCAGUGUAAACAAGAGCAGGGCAUGUAUGAGUAGUUGAGAACGGAGAAUAGGAGUAUGACUAGACAGAAGAUAGUAGGGAUGACAAGUUUUUUUUGGGGCACACUCUAAGUUGGUCCGGUGUUUGGAAUGAGACUGGGGCCUAAUAAAAAGGAGCAUCUAUACAGGAGCCCAAAUGGGCUGUACCUUGUAGCAUUCUGAGGACGGGUCUGACUUCUGAGAAGGGAAAGUGGUAAAAGUAUUGUCCAGUUCUUUUUAAGUUGGUGGCUGAGCUUGGUGAGGUGUGUUUUUGAAAGACCUUUAGUCCGUUCUACUUUUCUUGAAGACAGACGACUAUAAGGGAUAUAAAGGUUUCACUGAAUACUAAGAGCCUGAAAAACUGCUUGGCUGAUUUGACUAAUAAAGGUUGGUCUGUUAUCAGACUGUAUAGAGGUGGGAAGGCUAAACUGAGGGAUUAUGUCUGACAGAAGGGAAGAAAUGACUGCAGUGGCCUUCUCAGACCCUGUAGGAAAGGCCUCUACCUAUCUAGUGAAAGUGUCUACUUAGACUAAGAGGUAUUUUAGUUUUUGUGACUCAGGGCAUGUUGAGUAAAGCUAAUUUGCCAGUUCCGGGGGCGGGGGCAGGGGGCAAAUCCUCAAGUUUGAUGUGUAGGGAAGGGAGGGGUCCUGAAUAAUCCUUGAGGAGUAGUAGAAUAGCAGAUAGAAUAGCAGAUGGAACACUGAGAAAUUAUUUCCUUGAGGAUAGAUUUCUACAAUGGAAAGGAAAUGAGAGGUUCUAAGAGGCGGGCUAGUGGCUUGUACUAUAGCAUAGCCUGCCUUUGCUGGUGUGUGGCGAUUAGGCCUGGUGGAACUGCCAUCAAUAAAUCAAGCGUGAUCAGGGUGAGGAACAGGAAAGAAGGAAAUAUGGGGAAAUGUGGUGAAUGUCAGGUGGAUCAGAGACAUACAGUCAUGGGGGUCAGGUGUGGUAUCAGGAAUAAUGUGGGAGGCCAGAUUGAAGUCUGGGCCAGGAACAAUGGUAAUUGUGGGACUUAACAAAGAGUGAGUACAGCUGAAGGAGCCGGGGAGCAGAAAGUAUAUGCAUCAGGUAUGAGGAAGAAAAUAGAUUUUGGAAGUUAUGAGAAAUGUAGAGAGUAAGUUGAGCAUAGUUUAUGAUUUUUAGGGCCUCUAAAAGUAUUAGGGUGGCAGCAGCCGCUGCACGGAGACAUGAGGGCUAGGCUAAAACAGUAAGGUCAAGUUGUUUGGACAGAAAGGCUACAGGGUGCGGUCCUGGCUCUUGUGUAAGAAUUCUGACCACACUAACCAUGCCUAGGAAGGAAAGGAGUUGUUGUUUUGUAAGGGAUUGAGGUUGGGGAGAUUAAUUGGACACGAUCAGCAGGGAGAGCACCUGUGUUUUUAUGAGAAUUAUGCUGAGAUAGGUAACAGAUGAGGGUGAAAUUUGGGCUUGACUGAAGUAAUGGGGGCUGUCUGUGAAGCCUUGCGGCAGUACAGCCCAGGUAAUUUGCUGAGCCUAAUGGGUGUUAGGGUCAGUCCAGCUGAAAGCGAAGAGAGGCUGGGAUGAUGGGUGCAAAGGAAUAGUAAAGAAAACAUGUUUGAGAUCCAGAACAGAAUAAUGGAUUGUGGAGGGAGGUAUUGAGGAUAGGAGAGUAUAUGGGUUUGGCACCAUAGGGUGGAUAGGCAAAACAAUUUGGUUGAUAAGGCAUAGAUCCCGAACUAACUUGGAAGGCUUGUCUGGUUUUAGGACAGGUAUAAUGGGGGAAUUGUAAGGAGAGUUUAUAGGCUUUAAAAGGCCAUGCUGUAGCACGCAAGUGAUAACAGGCUUUAAUCCUUUCAAAGCAUGGUGUGGGAUGAGAUAUUGGCAUUGAGCGGGGUAAGGGUGAUUAGGUUUUAAUGAGAUAGUAAGGGGUGCAUGAUCAGUUACCAAGGAGGGAGUAGAGGUAUCUUAUUCCUGUGGGUUAAGGUGGGGGAAUACAAGAGGAGGACGCAAAGGAGGCUUUGGAUUGGGAAGAAGGGCAGCAAUGAGAUGUAGCUGUAAUCCAGGACUAGUCAGGGAAGCAGAUAAUUUAGUUAAAGUGUCUCGGCCUAAUAAGGGAACUGAGCAGGUGGGGAUAACUAAAAGAGUGCUUAGAAGAGUAUUGUCUCAGUUGGCACCAGAGUUGGGGAGUUUUAAGAGGUUUAGAAGCCUGGCCGUCAAUACCUACAACAGUUACGGAGGCAAGGGAAACAGGCCCUUGAAAAGAAGGUAAUGUGGAGUGGGUAGGCUCCAUAUUGAUUAAGGGGACGGACUUACCUUCCACUGUGAGAGUUACUCGAAGCUCAGCGUCUGUGAUGAUCUAUGGGGCUUUCGAGGUGAUCGGGCAGCGUCAGUCUUCAGCUGCUAAGCCGAGAAGGAGUCAGAGAGCCUUGGGCCAGAAUUCCAGGGGCUCUGGGAGUGCCUGCCAGGCUGGAGGGCAAUGGCGUGGUUUUGCUCACUGCAACCUCCGCCUUCCAGGUUCAAGGAUUCUUCUGCAUCAGCCUUGCAAUUAGCUAGGAAUACAGGUGCUGUAGUGACUGAAGACAUCCUUAAUGAAUAAUAGAGUUUUGCUUUUGAAAAUCAGCAUUUGUCUACUUCCUCAGUGUACAGAAAGUGAUGGCCCAAUUAUUGAAAAAUUUGAGUUUCAUUUCAUUGUGAUUGGAAGAGACACACUCCAUCCACUCUCUAUGAAAAGCAUCCGUGUACCUUCUUCCUCUUGGUCACUAGACAAGAGCCUGGAACUCACUGAACUGUGGGAGUGAAAGAGCUGUAACUCUCCUGCUCUCUGAUCUAUGGACAGGGGGACUAAAAGAGCUAUAACACUCCUGCCUUGCAAACUACAGUAGUAAAAAAGAAACACAAAAGUACCAUCAAAAGUUUCUGGUGAAAAUUGAAUUACCAAAAACAUUGAAAGUGCUUAAAACAGUACCUGCAACAUAGUAAGAGCUCAACAAACGUUAUUCAUUUAUGUUCAUAAUUUGGAUUGAUAAAUUACCCUACUGAAAAAUAAAUACUUUCAGAUUGAAUUUAAAAGCAAUAAUAAAAUCUCUUGAUGCUUAAAAGAGAUGAACAAGACAGCAAAUAAACUUCAAUGCUGAAAAUAAGAACAAUAUACAAAUUUUUAUCAAGGAAAUCUCAGGGACCCUGUAAACAGUCGUUCUGUUCAUAUUUGUUGUUGUUUCUUUAGAGGAGGGCAUCUAGGCAAUAAGAAAACUGGAAUGUGAAAUCUAUCUACUUUUCUGUUUCCAAAGCUCAGAAUUAUGUUAAUUUUACUGAACCAACUAACAGGAGGGGUGACUUUUUGUCAUUUAUAGAAAAGCAUUAUAGAUAAUAUUCAGGGGAUUCACUAAAAUAACAAGACACUCUGUGCAAUUGCCUAUUGGUAUUUGAGUUCCAGUGUAAAACCUAAAAUAAUUUGUUUAAAGUUAAAACAGUAUAACAACAUGACUUUAAAAGUUAUUACUUCACAUUCCAAGAUCAGAGAUCCUACCAUCUCUGGGGCCUGCCAAAAGUCGAUGAUACAGUCAUUUCAGCAGAAUCAUUCACUUGAUUACAUAAAGGGAAGAUUGGGAAAGAAAAGAUGGUGACUUUUGAGGAGAGUGCAGAGUGCCUAAAGGAAGAUCAUUGUGCUUCUCUAUCUGCUGUGAUAAAGGGGAGAGAGGGACACUUCUCUCUAGCAAAAGAUCUGCUUCUUCUGGACUUUGGACACAAGCUUAGGAAAGAAUUGGCAGAGCUGAUAGAGAGUGUCAUUAGCAGAAGCAUGCAUUUCCACCAUGUGGUUUGAAAAGUACCUAUGAAAUUUGCUGGGUUUGAUGGACGCCACUGAGGGGAACCUGACUUGAAGCAUCUUACUACUGCCCCUCCUGGAACCACUCUGUGCAUAGGAAUACUCAACUGAUGACAAUGAGUGAUUUAUGACACAACUGAAAAGAGAAGGAAGAAGCCGAGCCUAUGCUGGGAAUUCUAUGCCCAGAGUCUGCAUAGUGUACAGCUUUAUAAAACCCCUAAAUGUGUCUGACACAGAGUUUUCAUUUGGACUUGCAGCCUUAGGAAGGAGCAACAGCCUGCAGAAAUUCUUGUGAUAUUUUCAACGUACUUUAAGUGAGACACUGAAAAUUUGCUACUCUCCCAAUAAUAUUACGAAUUAUGAAGUCAUGACUCAUCUUUUCCAUUAUAUAGCUUUAUGAAAUUCACUUAAAGAUGAUUAUUUAAAAGCGUGUUUAGUAGGUAAGAAUAUACUAAGAAGAUAUUAUUAAAUGGUUUAAUUAUAUCAUGAAUCCUUUUAUAGUUUAGGAAUGUUAUUUUUAAUUAGCAAUUCUAGACAUGACUGGAUGGUGAGAACCAAGAUCAUAAUGCCAGCUGUGUUUGGCUAGCAUUAGAUGUGAUCUUCUGUUGAUCUUGGUUUGAGCCUUAAUCUUAUCCUCCUUUGUUGCUAUUGGAUGGUAAAAGCACCAUAAUGUUGAUCGUGCCAAAAAGGAAUAUUUAAACACUAACACUGCUCAAAGGUCUGAGAACUUAAGCUAACAAAAUUAUGGUUCUUUUUUUCCUCUCUUUCUGGCAUUUGGUUAAAUAGCUUCUAAUUACCCAAUUUGGGAGAAGUUCUGAAACCAUGUCCCAAAGAGUUAAAGCAACCAGUGACUAACAGAAAUUCUUGAGUUUGCAGAAUGGUGGAUAAGAAAGGAAACAACUUGCUAAAACACUGAAACUCCCUCCACUUAUGAGAUAAAAGAACUGGCUGAAAUCAGUUUGGUCAACUGGAGUUUGUGCGGAAGUAGCUUGCUGACAUCAUAGCCUGAAUUUUCAUUGCAUGUCUCAUACCAACUCCCUCCAGAAUCUGCACAUGCAAAUGAGUUAGCAUAAAAAAGGUAACUGUGCAUGCCCAAGGACUUUCCAGACCUCUCCUUUCCUUCCACCAAUAAAACCUGAUAAUCUCAGAAUCCAACCCCUGAAUCUUUUCUAAUGAAAAUAUAGUCUUGAAGCCAGCACAGGGAGACAGCUUGGAGCUUGACUCCUGUCUCCUCGGGAGUGGACUUUCAAUAUAAAGCUUUUCUGUCCUCAAAAACCUGGUAUAGUAUUGGCUUCUAGCGUAUUCAGCAGCAAGCCCCUUUUGCUUGAUAAAGUUCCAGGAUCCUUCCUGCCAGAGGUUUUGCAUGUCCCUCUUUUUCCAUUGCUUCUCUUGGCCCCUAACAUCUGUUCAUCUCAUUAACUCUUACUCUGUUUUUCAAUUCAAAAACAAUAAUAGCUUUAAAGAAACAUUCCUAACCUUCUCAAAUGCAUUCGUUUUUCUAAUGUAUACUUUAAUAGAACAAUGUACUUCUUCCUCUCAUCUCUCUCACAACAUAAAUUUACCCUAGUGUGAUUUGGUGAUAAAUAUCUGUCACUAUACUAGAUUGUAUAUUCAAGUCAUGUGGAGAAUGUGUCUGUUUUCGUUCAUGAUGGUGUCUACAUUAAAUAAUCCAAUGUGACAAGAAAUAUUUGUUCAAUGAAUGAGCUCCCUGAUGAAUGGAUAAAAUGAUGCUCUGAUAUGUAUGAAUGUUGAUAUUAGACACACUUAUCAAUUAUAUGUACUGUAAAUAGCAUGUAGUAGCAUUUCAAUGAGUAUUUGCUGAUUGACAGAUUUGACUAUCAAUCCCUGCUCUGAUUUCCUUUUGGGAUUUGAUUAUAUUCUUUGUACCCCUUCCAGCUUUAUUAAAGUAUAAUUGACAAAUAAGAU